AUGGAGGUAGAAACAUCUAAACACCUUUUCUUUACUUGCCCAGUUGCUAGGGUGGUUUGGAGAUCUAUUGGGGUUGUUUUGGGCACUGACAAUUGCCCCAACAACUACUGGCAAUAUUUCGUUUGGUGCAGCAAAUUUCUCCCUGGCAAAGAAAACUUUUAUACUGUGGGCUUAGCUGCUACCUGUUGGGCCAUCUGGUUGGCGCGUAACCGGGCCACUUUUGAGAAAAAGUUGAUUGAAACUCCUUUUGAGAUUGUUUUCUCCCUUUGUUCAUUGCUGUUGUAUUGGACAGGUUUGCAGAAAGAAGAGGCGGCUGGUGAGCUGCGCGCUGGUGCAGAGAUGAUCAGGGGCAACACGAUGCAGUUGAUGAAGUUGUGUAACUCUGUCAAGCAACCAAUACAGAGCUCGUGA
This 411-nucleotide ribosomal RNA is filed under the name Triticum aestivum (bread wheat). RNAcentral's name for it is "partial small subunit ribosomal RNA". Lineage: Eukaryota; Viridiplantae; Streptophyta; Magnoliopsida; Poales; Poaceae. The record is from RNAcentral.